RNAcentral lists this ribosomal RNA (433 nucleotides) under uncultured bacterium. RNAcentral's name for it is "partial 16S ribosomal RNA". It matches the Rfam family "Bacterial small subunit ribosomal RNA", at positions 29 to 507 of the family's 1533-position model. The record is from RNAcentral.
AGCGAACGCUGGCGGCAGGCCUAACACAUGCAAGUCGAACGAACUCUUCGGAGUUAGUGGCGGACGGGUGAGUAACACGUGGGAACGUGCCUUUUGGUUCGGAAUAACUCAGGGAAACUUGUGCUAAUACCGAAUGUGCCCUUCGGGGGAAAGAUUUAUCGCCAUUAGAGCGGCCCGCGUCUGAUUAGCUAGUUGGUGAGGUAACGGCUCACCAAGGCGACGAUCAGUAGCUGGUCUGAGAGGAUGACCAGCCACACUGGGACUGAGACACGGCCCAGACUCCUACGGGAAGGAGGAGUGGGGAAUCUUGCGGAAUGGGGGAAAGCCUGGCGCAGCCAUGCCGGGGGAAUGAUGAAGGUCUUAGGAUUGUAAUAUUCUUUCACCGGGGACGAUAAUGACGGUACCCGGUGAAGAAGCCCCGGCUAACUUCGUG